Molecule: long non-coding RNA, 513 nt
Organism: Uloborus diversus
Lineage: Eukaryota; Metazoa; Arthropoda; Arachnida; Araneae; Uloboridae
Exons: 3
Source: RefSeq, a predicted model, not a curated record
AGACCUGGAUUGUCGAGUACUUUCUUCACUAUGAUGCCUUUGUGAACAGAUUCCGAAGCUCUCAUCAUUUAACUACGGAUAAAUAAAAGAUUCUUGAUGCUAAGUACAGACUGCAAUAAGGCCAAGUUCUUGUGGUUGUGGUGCACCUGCCUUUGAUUGGAGUGGAUGCGGGAAACAACAUAGACUACAAUUUGAAACCAGUAUUCUUUUUCUGAAGUUAAAAAAAAAAUGAAUAUGCACAUUGAAAAAAAAUCCUAUUUGUGUGAAUAUUGCAAAAAAAUUUUUAGUUGUGCUUCAAAGCUGAAAAUACAUCUGAGGAUACACACUAAUGAAAAACCACAUUCUUGUUGAAGCAACUGAAUCACACCUCACUAUUUGGCUUGGCCGAGACUGCGGCGAAGUGGCCAAGGCUUACUCCAUCUCUACUUUUAGUUUUGUGUUCUGUAAAAUGAUUUUUUUUUAUGAGUCAGAUUUGAUAAAACAGACAACACACUAAAAAAAGAAUAAAAAAUA